UACGGAGGGUGCAAGCAUUAAUCGGAUUUAUUGGGCGUAAAGGGCGCGUAGGCGGUCAAGAAAGUCGUAUGUGAAAUUCCGGGGCUCAACCUCGGAGCUGCAUAGGAAACUUCUUGUCUAGAGGGUAGGCGGAGAAAAUGGAAUUCCACAAGUAGCGGUGAAAUGCGUAGAUAUGUGGAAGAACACCAGUGGCGAAGGCGGUUUUCUAGCUUAUACCUGACGCUGAGGCGCGAAAGCAAGGGGAG
This 245-nucleotide ribosomal RNA is filed under the name uncultured Neochlamydia sp. RNAcentral describes it as "partial 16S ribosomal RNA". It matches the Rfam family "Bacterial small subunit ribosomal RNA", at positions 524 to 768 of the family's 1533-position model. The record is from RNAcentral. Lineage: Bacteria; Pseudomonadati; Chlamydiota; Chlamydiia; Parachlamydiales; Parachlamydiaceae.